RNAcentral lists this ribosomal RNA (253 nucleotides) under uncultured bacterium. RNAcentral's name for it is "partial 16S ribosomal RNA". It matches the Rfam family "Bacterial small subunit ribosomal RNA", at positions 524 to 776 of the family's 1533-position model. The record is from RNAcentral.
UACGUAGGGGGCAAGUGUUGUCCGGAUUUAUUGGGCGUAAAGAGCGUGUAGGCGGCCUGAAAGGUCAGCUGUGAAAACUCGAGGCUCAACCUCGAGACGUCGGUUGAAACCAUCUGGCUAGAGUCCGGAAGAGGAAAGUGGAAUUCCUGGUGUAGCGGUGAAAUGCGCAGAUAUCAGGAAGAACACCAAUGGCGAAAGCAGCUUUCUGGGACGGUACUGACGCUGAGACGCGAAAGCGUGGGGAGCGAACAGG